RNAcentral lists this non-coding RNA (391 nucleotides) under Callithrix jacchus (white-tufted-ear marmoset). RNAcentral describes it as "Bacterial large subunit ribosomal RNA". It matches the Rfam family "Bacterial large subunit ribosomal RNA", at positions 2076 to 2644 of the family's 2925-position model. Lineage: Eukaryota; Metazoa; Chordata; Mammalia; Primates; Cebidae. The record is from Rfam by way of RNAcentral.
UAAAAGGAGAAGACCCUAUGGAGCUUUAAUUCAUUAAUGUAAUUAAAAACUCAAACAAGCCUACAGGCCCUAGCCUACUAUUCCUGCAUUAAAAAUUUUGAUAGGGGUGACCUCGAAGCAUAAUUCAACUCCAAACAACCUAAACUAAGACCAUAUUAGUCUAAUUGAGUUACUAUACAUGGACCCAAUAUUUUGAUAAACAGAAUAAGUUACCCUAGAGAUAACAGCACAAUCCCAUUCUAGAGUCCAUAUCUACAAUAGGGUUUACAACCUCAAUGUUGGAUUAGGACAUCCUAAUGACGUAGCUGCUAUUAAGGGUUCGUUUGUUCAACGAUUAAAGUCCUACAUCAGCUGAGUUCAGACCAGAGUAAUCCAGGUCAGUCUCUAUUUA